Molecule: ribosomal RNA, 497 nt
Filed under: uncultured bacterium
Lineage: Bacteria
Description: partial 16S ribosomal RNA
Rfam family: Bacterial small subunit ribosomal RNA
Source: RNAcentral
GAUGAACGCUGGCGGCGUGCCUAAUACAUGCAAGUCGAGCGAACAGAUGAGGAGCUUGCUCCUCUGACGUUAGCGGCGGACGGGUGAGUAACACGUGGAUAACCUACCUAUAUGACUGGGAUAACUUCGGGAAACCGGAGCCAAUACCGGAUAAUAUAUUGAACCGCAUGGUUCAAUAGUGAAAGACGGUUUUGCUGUCACUUAUAGAUGAAUCCGCGUCGCAUUAGCUAGUUGGUAAGGUAACGGCUUACCAAGGCGACGAUGCGUAGCCGACCUGAGAGGGUGAUCGGCCACACUGGAACUGAGACACGGUCCAGACUCCUACGGGAGGCAGCAGUAGGGAAUCUUGCGCAAUGGGCGAAAGCCUGACGGAGCAACGCCGCGUGAGUGAUGAAGGUCUUCGGAUCGUAAAGCUCUGUUAUUAGGGAAGAACAAAUGUGUAAGUAACUAUGCACGUCUUGACGGUACCUAAUCAGAAAGCCACGGCUAACUACGUG